CCUACGGGAGGCAGCAGUGGGGAAUCUUGCGCAAUGGGCGAAAGCCUGACGCAGCCAUGCCGCGUGGAUGAUGAAGGUCUUAGGAUUGUAAAAUCCUUUCACCGGUGAAGAUAAUGACUGUAGCCGGAGAAGAAGCCCCGGCUAACUUCGUGCCAGCAGCCGCGGUAAUACGAAGGGGGCUAGCGUUGCUCGGAAUUACUGGGCGUAAAGGGAGCGUAGGCGGACAUUUAAGUCAGAGGUGAAAUCCCGGAGCUUAACUUCGGAACUGCCUUUGAUACUGGGUGUCUUGAGUGUGAGAGAGGUAUGUGGAACUCCGAGUGUAGAGGUGAAAUUCGUAGAUAUUCGGAAGAACACCAGUGGCGAAGGCGACAUACUGGCUCAUUACUGACGCUGAGGCUCGAAAGCGUGGGGAGCAAACAGGAUUAGAUACCCUGGUAGUCCACGCCGUAAACGAUGAUGUNUAGUGUCGGUAGCGUGUCUCUCGUGACGC
Molecule: ribosomal RNA, 490 nt
Filed under: uncultured bacterium
Lineage: Bacteria
Description: bacterial SSU rRNA
Rfam family: Bacterial small subunit ribosomal RNA
Source: RNAcentral